GACGAACGCUGGCGGCGUGCUUAACACAUGCAAGUCGAACGGAAAGGCGAUGCUCUUGUGGGGUGCACGAGUGGCGAACGGGUGAGUAAAACGUGAGGAAAAUGCACUUGUAUUUGGGAUAACAUCAGGAAAAUGGGGCUAAUACCGGGUAGGAGCUUCUGAAGCAUGGGGGGGGAUGGAAAGAGUCGGCGGUUGGGGAUGGACUCGAGGCUUAUCAGCUUGAUGGGGGGGUAGGGGAGUACCAAGGCUUUGACGGGUAGCCGGCCUGAGAGGGUGACCGGCCACCUUGGGACUGAGAUACGGACCAGACGCCUACGGGAGGCAGCAGUGGGGAACAUUGCGCAGUGGGGGGACGCCUGGUGCAGCAACGCCGGGUGCGGGAUGCCGGCUUUCGGGUUGUAAACCUCUUUCGCCUGUGCCGAAGCGUGCGUGACGGUAAUGGGUAAAGAAGCACCGGCUAACUACGUG
Molecule: ribosomal RNA, 468 nt
Filed under: uncultured bacterium
Lineage: Bacteria
Description: partial 16S ribosomal RNA
Rfam family: Bacterial small subunit ribosomal RNA
Source: RNAcentral